GAAGUGGGCUGGGAGAGAGCUCUGUUCCCUUUGAGAUGAGUUAUUAAUUCUUAGGAGCCAGCCAUUUAUUCCUUAAUGCAGUGGCAGUUACCUAAUGGUGUCCUCAGUUGUGGGCUUCUAUAGCUCUCCACUCUUCCGGAGCCUGCGGCCCAGAUGGCACGACACCGCCAUGACGCAGAUAAUUGGGAACUGUGUCUGUCUCCUGGUCCUAAGCUCAGCACUUCCUGUCUUCUCUCGAACCCUGGGGCUCACUCGCUUUGACCUGCUGGGUGACUUUGGACGCUUCAACUGGCUGGGCAAUUUCUACAUUGUGUUCCUCUACAACGCAGCCUUUGCAGGCCUCACCACACUCUGUCUGGUGAAGACCUUCACUGCAGCUGUGCGGGCAGAGCUGAUCCGGGCCUUUGGGCUGGACAGACUGCCGCUGCCCGUCUCCGGUUUCCCCCAGGCAUCUAGGAAGACCCAGCACCAGU
RNAcentral lists this small RNA (473 nucleotides) under Pan troglodytes (chimpanzee). RNAcentral describes it as "retained intron". Lineage: Eukaryota; Metazoa; Chordata; Mammalia; Primates; Hominidae. The record is from RNAcentral.